GCAUACCAGAGAAAAGCUCAUCCAGAUCCUAGACUUUCUAGUACAUGAGUAGGCAUGUAAUUUCAGGGAAAAAAACAUGAGUCUAGCAAUAGCACUCCCUUUGAUAGCUGAAAUGCAAUUCGAACGGUGAGAGAGAAGAGGAAUCUCGCGUCAGAAGCCGUUAGAAAUGUAAGAGGAGGAAUUGGGGAAUGCGUGGUUGAGGGUUUGAGCCUCACUCGCCUGAACUUGGACUGAGUUGGGGCUUGGUUCGAACAGGAAUGAUGGUUGAACAUGGAGCCAUUUUUGAGCUCUUGAGAGAAAAAGGCUCCGUCUGUUUGUUUUGUACUUGUGGGUUCAUUUAGUAGAGAAUGGGUUGUCGGGGCAUCUAGGCGGGUUUUGGGCGAUUUAGGGUGAGCAUUUGG
RNAcentral lists this long non-coding RNA (401 nucleotides) under Nicotiana benthamiana. RNAcentral's name for it is "long non-coding RNA (NBEN_LNC033189)". The record is from RNAcentral. Lineage: Eukaryota; Viridiplantae; Streptophyta; Magnoliopsida; Solanales; Solanaceae.